GCUGUGCGGACUAAGGAACACCUCGUUUGCGUGGUCGUUACCAAACAUGCGUGUCUUACAGUCAUCGUUGCUAGUUUUGUUCUUCCAGAUCAUCUAUGGUGGAUUUUGUGACGAGCGGAUUUACAAUGAGGGAAUGCAGUGAAUGGGAAAAAUGAUGAGAUGUCCUAACCUGCCCAGACAUGUCAUGAUGACGUCACAGCUGACGUCACAGGAUGUCCGGAACUUGUGGUCAUAGCUGGGAUGCUUUGCAACCUGCCUCUGUGCUCCGUCGCCCGGCGAUGGUCAGCGGCCUUUCCGGGCCGCUUCCUUCAAGAUGGCGUCGUUGAUCUUCAACUAAACUCCUUGUCUCCACUCUAUCUCUACCUAUUUUUUAUUUUUUAUAGACACAGAUUGUCCGCAACGCACAGGGUGGUCUGGACACGUCCUCCAAACAACAAACCAGCCACUGGUUUGUCGUCCCCUCAGAUGACGCACCCCGAAAGUCGCUGGAGAGGCGUGUUAGCUUAGCUCAAUUGGUAGAGCCCUGGACCGGUAAUCCAGAAGAUGUGGGUUCGAUCCCUACAGCUGGCUAACCUUUUCAGUGACUUUCAUCUUUCAUCGUUGAUUUCUUAGGCAACUUGAGGCUUUGUUUGUAUCUGUCCCUUCUAUGUUGUUCCAGCCUCAGAACAUCAGUUUCUCUCUUGUUCGACUAGCCUCUACUAUGGUGAAAUCAUUAUGUGGGAAACUGUAAUGCUCACAUCCCUGAAGAACACGCAUGCUAAAUGGGGGAACAAUGCUGGCCUUAUUAAGAAACAGCUGCUUGAAGCGCGUGCGUCCAAUGCAGGUAAUAGCUGGGUUAUUGGGAUAACCUCUUACCCUCAAAGAGUACGAAACAGAUAUGUAAAAUCUCCUUAUUUCGAGUGACCAUUCGUUGCUCUCAACAUAGGCUCUCCAAUGGCGACGUGCGGAUAGCACCAGUUAUCAAACGCAGUCCCUGAUGAUGUACUGGGUCUAAAAUCUUCAGGACAGAUUUCCGCGCAGACCCAAAAACAACACAUCCAUAGUCCAUUCUAGACAGCACUGUGGACACAUAGACCCUGUGCAGGGUGUCACGAUCUGCUCCCCAAGAUUUGUGGGCCAGCACCUUCAAUAGGUUAAGUGACUUAAUGCAUUUUGUUUUAAGGCUCUUGAUGCGGGGUAAGAAAGUGAGCUUGCUAUCAAAGAUGACCCCAAGAAAUUUGUGUUCACCCCUAACAGCAUGGUCCUGUCCGUUCAGCUUAAGAGUAGGUGAAGGAAACAGCCCUCUGACCCUCGAGAAGUGAACACAUACUCGUGGAAGAGAAAGAAAUCUGAAUGUCAUCCACGUACAAUGAAUAAGGCAUGGAAGGUGUGAUUAUGCUAGCUACUGAAUUGAUUUUCACGAGAAACAGAGUGACGCCAAGGACAGAUCCCUGCGGCACCCCGUUUUCUUGGAUGAAAGGACGGGAUAGUAUUAUUCCAAGCCGUACUUGGAAUGUCCUGCCUUGAAGGAAGCUUGUUAUACACCUAAGAAGGCGCCCCCUUAUUCUGAAAGAGUAUAGAUCUUGUAGAAUGCCAUACCGCCAAGCCGUGUCAUAUGCCCUUUCAAGAUCAAAACAUACAUACAGGCAGUGUUGUCUUCGGACGAACACUUCACGAAUCAUUGUUUCCACUCGAACGAGGUGGUCUGUUGUGGAACGUCCAGCGCGAAAACCACACUGUAAUUCAGAAAGGCAUUUAUUUUCCUCUAGGAAAUGGACGAGUCGAGCAUUGACCAUACGCUCAAACGUUUUGCCAAUGCAGCUCGUGAGAGCGACUGGUCGAUAACUGGCCGGGCUUGAAGGUUCCUUUCCGGGUUUUAACAGAAGAAUUACAGUGAAAUUUUCCAGGCUGAGGGUAAUGCACACUGGGUUCAAACUUGAUUAAAAAAUUGGAGUAAAACCUCUUUAGAUGCGUCAGACAGAUGACUCAACAUAGAAUACACCACCCUGUCUGGGCCUGGUGAAGUUGCUUUUGUACACUUUAAGGAAAGAUGAAGCUCUAUUUUCGUGAAAGGUUGAUUAUACAUAAGAUUGUCUCCAGAAUGCAUUGGAAUUUUCCUCUUCUCUGCACUACUCCUUAAGUUAAGGAACUCACGGGUGUAGUUGCAGGAAGAGGAAACGCUUUCAAAAUGCUCACCGAGAACGUUGGCUGGUUCCUGUAGACUUUCACAUGGCUGACCAUUCACUACAAAACGAGGGGUAGCGCGGCUCAUAUGUACACCUCUGAUCUUAUGAAGGCGAUCAAAUAAGUUUAGAAGGAGAAUUGGAAGACAGGGAUGAUACAAAGCUCUGCCAAGAGCUUGAGCAAGAGGACCGCUUGGCUUGCUUGCGCGUCCACCUUGCUUUGGCUCUCGCCUUUUUAAAGAGAACAAGGUUUUCACUGGUGGGGUAUCUUCGAAAUCUACCCCACGCACGAUUUUGAGAUUUUCGUGUUUCUUCACACUCCUUGUUCCACCAGGGUUUUGGUCGCUUAGGCAAGCGACCAGAAGUCUUAGUAAUAUAUUGUGUUGCUGCGUCAAGGAUGACAUUAGUUAUGACAUCGUUUGCUUCGUCAGUUGUCAUCCUAUCAAGAGGGAUUAAAGACAGGUCGCAUUUCUCAGAAAAAGUCUUCCAGUCGGCUUGUUCAAGUUUCCAUCUAGGGGGACACGUCAUGAUACCAACUUGAGGCAGAUAUUUCAA
Long non-coding RNA from Ornithodoros turicata, 2717 nucleotides. RefSeq lists it as uncharacterized. The transcript is spliced from 3 exons. The record is from RefSeq and is a predicted model, not a curated record. Lineage: Eukaryota; Metazoa; Arthropoda; Arachnida; Ixodida; Argasidae.